UUAUUGAGGUAGCCCCCAAAAUAUUGGGACAUAUAAAAAGAUAACUCUGUUCCACAGAGUAGCUGUUGACAUUAUAGUUGCGCAGGCACUUUGUUGACUCUAGAGAACCUCGGGCCAAUCGCACAUCCCUUUGGUGGCAACUUUGCAUGCGGAUGUCAUCCAUAUCAACUUUCGAUGCCAGUUUCUGCGCCUACCAUGGUGACCAUGGGUAAUGGGGAAUCAGGGUUCCAUUCCGUACAGGGACCCUGAGAAACGGCUACCACAUGCAAGGAAGGCAGCAGGCGCGCAAAUGACCCACUCCCGACGUGGGAAGGUAGUGACGA
This 323-nucleotide ribosomal RNA is filed under the name Pelobates cultripes (western spadefoot toad). It matches the Rfam family "Eukaryotic small subunit ribosomal RNA", at positions 135 to 473 of the family's 1831-position model. The record is from RNAcentral. Lineage: Eukaryota; Metazoa; Chordata; Amphibia; Anura; Pelobatidae.